RNAcentral lists this ribosomal RNA (396 nucleotides) under Priestia flexa. Its description in RNAcentral is "bacterial SSU rRNA". It matches the Rfam family "Bacterial small subunit ribosomal RNA", at positions 555 to 950 of the family's 1533-position model. Lineage: Bacteria; Bacillati; Bacillota; Bacilli; Caryophanales; Bacillaceae. The record is from RNAcentral.
UGGGCGUAAGCGCGCGCAGGCGGUUUCUUAAGUCUGAUGUGAAAGCCCACGGCUCUACCGUGGAGGGUCAUUGGAAACUGGGGAACUUGAGUGCCUAAGAGAAAAGCGGAAUUCCACGUGUAGCGGUGAAAUGCGUAGAGAUGUGGAGGAACACCAGUGGCGAAGGCGGCUUUUUGGUCUGUAACUGACGCUGAGGCGCGAAAGCGUGGGGAGCAAACAGGAUUAGAUACCCUGGUAGUCCACGCCGUAAACGAUGAGUGCUAAGUGUUAGAGGGUUUCCGCCCUUUAGUGCUGCAGCUAACGCAUUAAGCACUCCGCCUGGGGAGUACGGUCGCAAGACUGAAACUCAAAGGAAUUGACGGGGGCCCGCACAAGCGGUGGAGCAUGUGGUUUAAU